Molecule: long non-coding RNA, 2382 nt
Filed under: Vitis vinifera (wine grape)
Lineage: Eukaryota; Viridiplantae; Streptophyta; Magnoliopsida; Vitales; Vitaceae
Description: long non-coding RNA (VVIN_LNC007787)
Source: RNAcentral
CAUGUUAUUUAUUUUUUAUUCAUUAUAUAUGUGUACAAAACAUACACAAACAUUACGGAAAGAUGAAAAAAUUACAGAAGCAAACAUGAGCUGCAACUCAGUUUAUUCCCAUGAUUUUAUGACAUAUGAUAGUUAUACUUGGUGCAAAUGACUGGUGAAGCUUCAUUUUUGCUUAGUAGCCAUGACAACCGAAGAGGUGGCAGGUGGGCUUGGCCGAGGGGGAGGCAGGGCGUGGCUUGCAAAGUUCUUGUUGAUCAUGCAAGGGGGGCCUUUGCCGGGAAUUCGGGUGCAUGGACUUGGGGCAGAAGGAGAAACUGGACCCGCCUGCAGAGACUGCAAGACAAUAUUAAUUCUUUUCUUCUUCCACUCUUUUUUCUCUCCAUUAGGAACCCUACUAGCAUGGUUUGGUUGGACACUCAGAAGAAAAACAACUGCAGUGACAGCUAAAACAAUGGUGAGAGACCUCAUGAUCUUGGUGGGGUUUAAGCUAAGACACUACGAGAUAUGGAAUUAAUAUGAUAUCUGGGAUGAUAUGCAUAUGUGGAGGAGAUCAUAUUAAUUGCUAUUUAUAAGCAUGGAUACCCAAUGUUAUAACUUCGAUUUUCCAUUGUUUCAUUUGUGUGAAAGGGUUUUUUUAGCUCUUGAAUACAAGGGUUUUGCCACGGCAUAGACUAGAAAUUGAGAAGGUCAUAAAGAUACUAGGUUUGAAUUACAUACAAUGACAAAGUUUUCAUAGGUCAUUAAUUGUAAGCAUCCGCCAUCCCAAAAAUAAAUAAAUUAAUUAAUUAAAAAAUUUACUGUUAUUAAAUACAAUGAUAAUUAUGAUCUUUGUAAAAAUAAAAAUAAAAAUGAAUUAAAUAAAAAAUAUCUACUUCCCACUUCAUGUCUGUGAAUUGUUGCUUCUUCAAAAUACAAUGGAUGAUAUUGAAAUAUUUAAAAGCAUGACUUCAAUAAUUUAGCUUAUUAAUUAACCUGUAACAUCAUACUUUUGCAUGAUGUUGCCCCACCGAAUAAAUAUUUUCCAAAUUAAGUUAGAAUUGGUCUCAUGCAAACUGUCGCAUUUAAAAAGUUUCACGGUUUGUAUACCACUUUUCUGACUGACGAUUAGUGGAUUACUUCCUUUUGGGGCACUAAGUUUGAUCAAAGAAUAGGUUUAUGGUGGGAACGGAUUUUUUUAGUGAAUUGGAGCUUGAAUGUUUGUUGGUUUGGUCGUGAUGCUCACAGCCUUUACGUGACAUCCUCCUCAACAAUCAAAUGUUUGAAUAUGACUGAUGACUAUUCACAUGCAUCAGUUUUUUUAUGCAUUGUCACGAUUCAAGAGCAGAGGCCCUUUCCAAAUUUCCAAAUUGUGUAUUUGUGUGCAUGCUUGUUAUGAAGGCCCAGCGUCUACAUUUAUGAAUAUAUAUAUAUAUAUACUUUUCCAUAUACCAUUUUUGCAGCACCCCAAAGCUGCUUAUUCUUCACGUCUUCCCCGCUCUCUAUUCAUAUAAAACGAUCCAUUCAUUUCUUUUCGAAGAUGGGUUUCACUUCUAGGAAAUUAGUCCUCUUGGUGGUGCUUUUCAAUUUCAUGCUUCUCUCAGCUUGGAGUUUCCGAGAACUUGAAGCAAUGCGGCUACUAGGAGGAGGGCAAUGGGCGAAGAGAAACAGUCUUGUGCUUCAAUCUCUGCAGAAAGGUCCAGUGCUGCCAUCCGGCCCCAGUCCUUGUACUCACAUCCCAGAACAAAGGGCAGGGCGAUGCACUUUCAAUGAAAAGAAUAUAGCUUACGACAUUGCAACUGCACCUCCAGCCGUUUUCGCGUNNNNNNNNNNNNNNNNNNNNNNNNNNNNNNNNNNNNNNNNNNNNNNNNNNNNNNNNNNNNNNNNNNNNNNNNNNNNNNNNNNNNNNNNNNNNNNNNNNNNCAGUUUAUUCCCAUGAUUUAUGACAUAUGAUAGUUAUACUUGGUGCAAAUGACUAGUAGAAUUUCUGAAAUCUGGUAGUGGCCAUGGUGAAGCUUCAUUUUUGCUUAGUAGCCAUGACAACCGAAGAGGUGGCAGGUGGGCUUGGCCGAGGGGGAGGCAGGGCGUGGCUUGCAAAGUUCUUGUUGAUCAUGCAAGGGGGGCCUUUGCCGGGAAUUCGGGUGCAUGGACUUGGGGCAGAAGGAGAAACUGGACCCGCCUGCAGAGACUGCAAGACAAUAUUAAUUCUUUUCUUCUUCCACUCUUUUUUCUCUCCAUUAGGAACCCUACUAGCAUGGUUUGGUUGGACACUCAGAAGAAAAACAACUGCAGUGACAGCUAAAACAAUGGUGAGAGACCUCAUGAUCUUGGUGGGGUUUAAGCUAAGACACUACGAGAUAUGGAAUUAAUAUGAUAUCUGGGAUGAUAUGCAUAUGUGGAGGAGAU